RNAcentral lists this ribosomal RNA (254 nucleotides) under uncultured bacterium. RNAcentral's name for it is "partial 16S ribosomal RNA". It matches the Rfam family "Bacterial small subunit ribosomal RNA", at positions 524 to 776 of the family's 1533-position model. The record is from RNAcentral.
UACGAAGGGUGCAAGCGUUACUCGGAAUUACUGGGCGUAAAGCGUGCGUAGGUGGUUUGUUAAGUCUGAUGUGAAAGCCCUGGGCUCAACCUGGGAAUUGCAUUGGAUACUGGCAGGCUAGAGUGCGGUAGAGGGUAGUGGAAUUCCCGGUGUAGCAGUGAAAUGCGUAGAGAUCGGGAGGAACACCAGUGGCGAAGGCGACUACCUGGACCAGCACUGACACUGAGGCACGAAAGCGUGGGGGAGCAAACAGG